RNAcentral lists this ribosomal RNA (164 nucleotides) under uncultured bacterium. Its description in RNAcentral is "partial 16S rRNA". It matches the Rfam family "Bacterial small subunit ribosomal RNA", at positions 355 to 511 of the family's 1533-position model. The record is from RNAcentral.
UAGGGAAUCUUCCACAAUGGACGCAAGUCUGAUGGAGCAACGCCGCGUGAGUGAAGAAGGGUUUCGGCUCGUAAAGCUCUGUUGUUGAAGAAGAACGUGGGUAAGAGUAACUGUUUACCCAGUGACGGUAUUUAACCAGAAAGCCACGGCUAACUACGUGUCAG